Molecule: ribosomal RNA, 486 nt
Filed under: uncultured bacterium
Lineage: Bacteria
Description: partial 16S ribosomal RNA
Rfam family: Bacterial small subunit ribosomal RNA
Source: RNAcentral
AUUGAACGCUGGCGGCAUGCCUUACACAUGCAAGUCGAACGGCAGCACGGGUGCUUGCACCUGGUGGCGAGUGGCGAACGGGUGAGUAAUACAUCGGAACAUGUCCUGUAGUGGGGGAUAGCCCGGCGAAAGCCGGAUUAAUACCGCAUACGAUCUACGGAUGAAAGCGGGGGACCUUCGGGCCUCGCGCUAUAGGGUUGGCCGAUGGCUGAUUAGCUAGUUGGUGGAGUAAAGGCCUACCAAGGCGACGAUCAGUAGCUGGUCUGAGAGGACGACCAGCCACACUGGGACUGAGACACGGCCCAGACUCCUACGGGAGGCAGCAGUGGGGAAUUUUGGACAAUGGGCGAAAGCCUGAUCCAGCAAUGCCGCGUGUGUGAAGAAGGCCUUCGGGUUGUAAAGCACUUUUGUCCGGAAAGAAAUCCUUGGCCCUAAUACGGUCGGGGGAUGACGGUACCGGAAGAAUAAGCACCGGCUAACUACGUG